AGUGAACGCUGGCGGCGUGCUUAACACAUGCAAGUCGAACGAGAACGGGUUAUAGCUUGCCAUAAUUGUCAGCUAAGUGGCGCACGGGUGAGUAAUGUAUAGGUAAUAUGCCUCUUACUAAGGGAUAACAAAUGGAAACGUUUGCUAAUACCUUAUACUCCUUAUUAACAGAAGUUAAUAAGGGAAAGAUUUAUUGGUAAGAGAUUAGCCUGUAUUGUAUCAGUUAGUUGGUGGGGUAAUGGCUUACCAAGACUAUGACACAUAACUGGUUUGAGAGGAUGAUCAGUCACACUGGAACUGAGACACGGUCCAGACACCUACUGGUGGCAGCAGUGGUGAAUAUUGCACAAUGGACGAAAGUCUGAUGCAGCAACGCCGCGUGGAGUAUGACACAUUUCGGUGCGUAAACUCCUUUUAUAUGAGAAGAUAAUGACGGUAUUAUAUGAAUAAGCACCGGCUAACUCCGUGCCAGCCGCCGCCGUAA
Molecule: ribosomal RNA, 484 nt
Filed under: uncultured bacterium
Lineage: Bacteria
Description: partial 16S ribosomal RNA
Rfam family: Bacterial small subunit ribosomal RNA
Source: RNAcentral